Molecule: small nuclear RNA, 163 nt
Filed under: Echinops telfairi (small Madagascar hedgehog)
Lineage: Eukaryota; Metazoa; Chordata; Mammalia; Afrosoricida; Tenrecidae
Description: U1 spliceosomal RNA (ENSETEG00000021897.1)
Rfam family: U1 spliceosomal RNA
About the family: U1 is a small nuclear RNA (snRNA) component of the spliceosome (involved in pre-mRNA splicing). Its 5' end forms complementary base pairs with the 5' splice junction, thus defining the 5' donor site of an intron.
Source: RNAcentral
AUACUUCCCUGGCAGGGAGAUACCCUGAUCACGAAGGUGGUUUUCCCAGGGCGAGGCUCAUCCAUUGCCCUCCGGAUGUGCGGACCCCUGUGAUUUCCCCAAAUGUGGGAAACUCCACUGCAUCAUUUGUGGUAGUGGGGGACUGCAUUCACGCUCUCCCCUG